UUUACAAUUCUUUUCGUUUUUAUUUAUUAAUUUUUCACAUAAUGCUUAUAGGUGUAAAGUCUUUGCUUUCCUCCCUCUGCUGGUAAAAUAAAAUCUGGACAAAUGGGCAGCCAACACCAUGGUUAGAACAGGAUGGAUGAGAGACCUCUGUGGACCUCUAGGUGCUACAAGUUACUGUCCCCACUAACCAAGUUUGGAUAAAUGUAGAACGUUUCUUCAUGAAGGGCAUCAAAUAAUACGACUGUACAACUGUAGGUAUAACACGUGAAUGGACAAGUGUAUACAAGGAUUUACAAUGCUUCACAAGUCUGUAAGAUAAGUGAAAUUUAAAGCACGUCCACUCUAUACUGUGUACUCAAAAAUAAAUCAAAAGGCUAUAGUCUACUUUGUUUAUUUUUAUAGGCUGUGGUUUACUUUUUUAAUUUUCAUAGGCUGUAGUCUAUUUUUUUUUUCAAACAGAGAUGCGGUUUCUCCUCCGAGCCACAUGAUGGCAGCAGAGGCUCCGGGUCACAAAAGGGUGAACGGAAAUGGGUCUACGUCAUUAGUUUACAUGUCUUAACGACAAAGAGAAGGUGGAGCGCGUGCGCAGACUGCCGGACAAACCUGCAAUGAAUGAUAAAUCUGCAGAGAACAACAGGUCUCUGACAACCAGUAAUAUAUCACUGUAUUCUUCCGAUAAAUGUGAAGAGGUUUGGUUUUAGCCUCUGAAACCAAAAAGCCGUUUGCUGUAUGUUCAAAUAGAAGAAAAUAGCUUUUUAAGUGUGCGAAUUGCGAAACUCCAUCAAUCCAGACUACUAGAGUCAGUGUGAUGGCAGGUUAAAUUCAUUUCAGGAGGCUGUAGUGGUGGACAUUGUUGGUACCCCUCAGUUAAAGAAAGAAAGUCCACAAUGCUCACUUAUUGAAAAUUAUAUAAUCAAAAUCAGCCAUUACUUUUGAGUUGCUGAUUAACAGAAUUAUUUAAAAAAAUAAACUAAUGAAAUAGGGCUGGACAAACAUGAUGGUACCUCCAUAAAAGACUGAGAACUAAUUGCCCAGGGCGUCAUGAUGAACUCAGGUAUGUCCUCUAAUUGACAACACAGCUGUUUUCAAACCCAUAAUCAGUCAGUCUGACUAUUUAAAGGGAGACAAAACAACCUCCAAAGACAUUAAAGGUGAACACCUAGAUCAAGGUACAUCAGUGUCAGAUUGCACCAUUCAUCGUUGUUUGAGCCAGAGUGGACUUCAUGGGAGACGACCAAGAAGGACACCACUGUUGAAAAGAAAUAAUAAAAAAGCCAG
RNAcentral lists this long non-coding RNA (1278 nucleotides) under Oryzias sinensis (Chinese medaka). Its description in RNAcentral is "lncRNA (ENSOSIG00000016917.1)". The record is from RNAcentral. Lineage: Eukaryota; Metazoa; Chordata; Actinopteri; Beloniformes; Adrianichthyidae.